Wyeomyia smithii (pitcher-plant mosquito) is the source of this 959-nucleotide long non-coding RNA. RefSeq lists it as uncharacterized. The record is from RefSeq and is a predicted model, not a curated record. Lineage: Eukaryota; Metazoa; Arthropoda; Insecta; Diptera; Culicidae. The transcript has 2 exons.
UUAGCCAUUGCUGUGAAUUUUGGUGCCCCCAGCUACCAACAUUUUUUCAGAGAUUUACAUGAGUUUUCUAAUAAACAUAACAUUGAAGCGACGGACCCGGUGAGUUAUUACUAUACGAACACUCACGUAAAUAAACCCGUUUUGGUAAUGGCUAGGAGCACCAAAAUUGACAGGAAUGGUUAAAAAGCUUUAAUUUUUCUAGAGCAUCUAUUUCGAGCUUUAAAGCAACAUUUUUUCGCUUUUGUCGACCAGUGUAUCAUGCUGUUUAACUUAAAAAAUGUGUAUAACUUUCUCAACAUAUCUUUUGACUUUUUAGAAAAAUUUUAUGAUGGAAAAGAUAAGUAAUGUGGCAAAUACGGUCAAUGGGUAAAAUACAUGCUACGAAAUUGUCAAGAGUAUCAAUUGGAGCUUCAACGUCAAAUUGAUGGAACCUUUUCUAAAAGUCAGUCACGAGGAAUUCCAUGAAACGUUGUGAAGCCGCUGCGCUGCUCGACAGUUCACCGGAGAUCAAAGAAAACAUCACUUCUGUUGCAAUUGCUGAAUGUAUGACCACUGAUGAUACGGGAAAAAAGAACGGAACAGCACAAGAAAACAGCGACACAGAAGAGGAGAGCGAUCGUGUUGAAUAUUGCGUAUCGUAGUUCUAAGUUAUCUUCAGUUAUUUUUUUAUUCGAUACCAAGCUAUCUGUAAUUCGUUAAUCUAGAUGUAAUUAAAGACUAGAACCUGGGCAAAACAGGUUCAACACCAUGUAUUCCUGUUGAAUGUAAGAAAUGAAAUGUUUAUGUUUUAAUAAACGACUCUUUCGGGACUUUUUUCAUUGCACAUUGUAUAUUUUUUCUUAAUAUUAGUUUACAUUUAGCUAACUAAAUGUUCGCUUAAAUUAUUAUUACCAUUAGAGCAACCUUUGGUUUACUAAUAAACAAGAUCAUUACCCAACAGUCACGUGAGUUGAGUACCA